UUAUUAAUAGUUAAACAGAUAACACUAAAAUGCAAUUUUAGAAUUGACUAACUUAAUCUUAAUAAA
RNAcentral lists this transfer RNA (66 nucleotides) under Bemisia tabaci. RNAcentral's name for it is "tRNA-Cys". Lineage: Eukaryota; Metazoa; Arthropoda; Insecta; Hemiptera; Aleyrodidae. The record is from RNAcentral.